Long non-coding RNA from Brassica napus (rape), 505 nucleotides. RefSeq lists it as uncharacterized. The record is from RefSeq and is a predicted model, not a curated record. NCBI's taxonomy places the organism in Eukaryota, Viridiplantae, Streptophyta, Magnoliopsida, Brassicales, Brassicaceae. The transcript is spliced from 3 exons.
AAGUAAUGAGUAUUCAGCUUUAUCCUAGACUACACUACAUAAGGUCUUAUACUUUUGUUGAGACUACAAAAACAGCAAGGCGUUAAUAAUAGCGGUUUUUGUAAUUAAAUAAAACUGCGGCGUUUAGGAUUGUUUUCAGAAACGGCACCCAGUGUGGAGAGAUGGCGAGAUUUGUGAGGCUAAUGGUGAAACUGGGUUAUAAUGCACGCAAGUUGUUCGACUGAAAGCUGCUGAGAAACCGUUUUACUCUCUGAAUCUAGUGAGACGCGAAAGUCUGAAUCUUUUUGCUUUGGGUAUUGAGAAGCUGGUCUCCUGUGUUUGGGGGAAGGCUUUUUUUUAAAUGGAUAGGAGUAAACGACGGUGAAUACAAUGGACAAUCCAGUUGUCUUGGAGGCUGUCUGUUAAGUGGUUUCUUUGUUAUGAUACAAAGUCGGAAGCUAGUAAAGAAAGAAUCUGUUAUAAUCAUGCCAACCUUUGGAAUCCAACUUGAAACUCAAUAUUUAAG